RNAcentral lists this ribosomal RNA (119 nucleotides) under Pteropus alecto (black flying fox). The record is from RNAcentral. Lineage: Eukaryota; Metazoa; Chordata; Mammalia; Chiroptera; Pteropodidae.
GUCUACGGCCAUUCCACCCUGAGCACGCCUGAUCCCAUCUGAUCUUGGAAGCUAAGCAGGGUUGGGCCUGGUUAGCAAUUGGAUGGGAGACCACCUAGGAAGACCAGGUGCUGUAGGCA